RNAcentral lists this ribosomal RNA (248 nucleotides) under uncultured bacterium. RNAcentral's name for it is "partial 16S ribosomal RNA". The record is from RNAcentral.
GCCGUCCCCUUCCCGUCCCGGUCCCGACCUACCUACGAACGUACCCUUAACCCGGGUAACGGGGACCGGAACGGCGAGUGGGGAAGGUACGUUGUCGGCCAAUGGCGGAAGGACCNGACGCAGCAACGCCGCCGUGAGGGAGUGAAGGUCUUCGGGUUGGUUAAACCUACUUUCUAAGCAGGGACGGAUAAUGACGGUACCUGCAGAAGAAGCUCCGGCCAACUACGUGUCAGCCGCCGCGGUAAUAC